Zootermopsis nevadensis is the source of this 3650-nucleotide non-coding RNA. The record is from RefSeq and is a predicted model, not a curated record. Lineage: Eukaryota; Metazoa; Arthropoda; Insecta; Blattodea; Termopsidae.
UUUACUUGUGACUGAGUUAUGAAGUUACAAAUGUGAAAUUCAUACAAUAUUAGGAUAGACUAUGGCUGAUAUUUUGUUCUAUAUUUCUGUGUUGAUUCUGCAUUUGUGUUUCACAUGUUUAUGAAACAAUGAAUUCCCUUCUUAGUUUUUUCUUCUGGAGUGUGUAACUAUUUCCAGACUAACAUUUGAGCCCCAUUUCAUAUUAUAAUAUUUAAGUCAUCAUCAGAGAUUUAAAAUGAUAUAAGGCACUAAAAUUUGAAAUCCCUGAAUAUGGGGAAGGUGUUCAUUCCUUUCUCAAGUUUUAUGUCUCUUAAAAAAUUAAAUAAAAAAUUCUGCCGUGCUGAACACAAACCCUCCUCCAUUGCAGUGGAUUUGAGCUGGCAUUAAACUCAAGGUCCCUUCUGUUUUGUCGUGAGUAAACAUGAUUCUGUCCUGUGAGCACUUUGUCCUGUCAUAAGUGGAUGUUUUCACAGCUUUCAGAGGCAGCUGUCAGUAACAUUCGAAGACCGUACGUAAAAACAGGAAAAGCUUAUGAAGAUUACAUUGCAAUUUCUCUAUGUAUUUUUUUUUCAGUAACCAGAUUAAUGUUGUGGGGUUCUCUGGUAUUUUGUUAAACUAAUACAUACCUGCAUUUGUUAAUGUUAGUGAUAUGCAAGCAAUGAUAAUGCAUAAAAGGGCUCACACUUCCAAGGUCCCUGUAAUGACAUGUAAUUGCAGGCUUGCCACAACCUUCAGAUUUAACGUAGAAAUAACUGACUUAGAAGCAGUUAUUUUGUGUUGCAAUGUCUCAUGAUAAACUGGAGUGGACAAGCUUUAGAGAUAUUUAAUACCGUUGUUGGCAGCUCUGUAUGAGUGUGUAUAUUGUGUACUUUUGCAUGCGUGUUUCAUGUUACUGUUUGUUCACACUCUAAGGAACUCGGAUUUGUACAACGAUCCACAUACCGUUCUGAGCAGAACAGUCCAUUCAUCAGCAUAGACUGCCAAAGUUUUACAAGAUGAGAAUGUACAGUGUCGUUUAGAAAUGUACCCUCACACUGCCUACUCACUUUGUUCUGUCAGAGUUAUGAUGAUGUAACAUUUGAAAACAAAGUUAUGUCAAUUUCUGUGUUUGUGAAGCUGUGAAUGAUGAUCGACUUUAUUUGGUCCCAUUGACCCUUCACAUUCAUAUUUUAUCCUCAUUAGUAGUUUACUAAUAAUAGCAGAGAAGCAGCCUUACAUUUAAAUAUUUCUUGCAAAGAAAUAUGGCAGAAGGAAAUUUUCGUGGGAGUUUAUGUUUAGUGAAACCAUAGCGUAAUUACAGUUACUCUGAAAUUAUGCCACUGUGAGGAGAUGGGGAAUUUCCUGUAUAUUCCCUUGGAUUCAAAUUGGUAUUUCAUUUGCCAGUGGUUAUUUUAAGUAUGGAAUGUUUGUACUUCAUCAUCUCCCGUAAUUUUUGAAUAAGUAACUGAUGCUACAUAAUCCCAAUGUUUCAUGAGGUGUUAUUGUUCUUUUGCUGGUACAUAGGUAGGCUCUGUGUUGUUUUCACCAUGCUGGAUGGUUUUUCUCAGUGAUUUCAUGUUUGUUUCCAGAAGAACCACAUUCCUAGGGACUCUCACUUUUGCCAAAAGUGUCAUCCAAAUCUGUUUUCCAAAAGAACUGAAAAAUAUCUUCACUUAGAAAAGUCCACUUUUGUUGAUGAAAAAGGGUGGUAGAUACAAAUGCUUAUGUCUGUGUAAUAUUAUGGACAGAAUAUUGACUUGUUCAAACAGUUCCAGAACAUCAGGAAUUUAAGGAUAAGUUUAGGGAAAUUUUGAGUAAAUACAGUUCACAAUAAGAUUGCAAAGUUUUGGUGGAAUGUACACGACUGCAUCAAGGGAGGAUCACUGGAUGAACGAAAGUAUGCUUAGUCACUUAAGAAACGUCAGAUUUUGGGUAACAGAACCCUAAGGUUCAAAACCUGUUCAUUCUACUUGUUCAUUUAUUUACUGAGUCGUGAGAUGUACUGCAUUACAAAAUGGUUUCUACAAUUGAAGUAAAUUUAAACAGCUAGCAAAAUAUGAGAGUUUAAAUGAUGGUGAAAAUUCUGAUCAUUAUUUUUUGGUUUAUGAUACUUCAGGUUCCUUCAAAAUGCAAACAUUCAUUUCACAUAGCAACAACUUUUGUUGUGCUGGUGUAGUAUAUGAAACGGUGUUUUACCUACAUGACUACAUCAUCAUCCCAGAAGACCACAAUCCAGAGCUUGGAAAUUAUUUAAGAUUCUGAACACUUGUAUUUUCUGUGUAAGUGUUUUGAACUGGAGGUUGUUAUUUAAAGUGCACAAUUUGUAACUAAACACACUUUUGUGUGAAACAAGAUUUUAUAUGCAAUGGCAGUAUUGUGUUUCUUAACGAGGAAUGAUAUCCUGACAGUUGUAACUGGGAUGUAAUAGAUAUUAACACUGCAUGUUUUAUGCAUUUUAUUUUUCCUCUAACUUUGACAUUAUAAAUGGCAUUUUUGCACGGAGAUAUUGAAGAAAUUGUCUGGUGUGGUAUUUGUAAGAGAUAAACAUUAUUUUCGUAUGUGCUAAGUAAAAUAUUUCUUGCUUCUGGUAACUCGUGUAAUGGAAUAGUAACGUUAUUUUUACUUGAGACGGCUAUGUUACAGAGAAUCCCUGAUUUGGCAUUUUGGCACAAACAGCAAACUGGCAUCAUGAACAGUCCCUUUUUCCAUAUCUUGCUCUGUGUUUCAGUGCGUAACAGAGAAAAGUGGUGUCAUGGUGAUUUUAAUAAGUUUGCAUAUUGGUAUUAACAUCAACAUAGGCACAUUUUAUUGUUAUGACAAUGCAAUUUAAUUUUGUUGAACAUAUUUUUUACAUUACAUUAAUGCAUAUGACAGUUAUAUUUGGUGUAUAAUUUUUUGAUGCAUAGUACCUAGAUGUGGUUGUAUAUUUAAUCUUGGUAUUAGUUCAUUCACAUAACACCUGUAACUUAUUUUGGGAGGUUAUAAUUGUGGCCAUAGAAAGUGACCAGUAGUAAUGAAUACCACAUAGAACAAUAUAGAGAAAUUUAUGUCGGUCACUGCAUUGACUUCCUCUCUGAACAAACUUUAUCCAUAAUUGUGUUCCUGUGAUCUGUGCUUUUAUGGUGCAGUACUUUGAUAGAACUGUUGUUUAUGGAAUAAAUUUAUGCAGUUGCCUAAAGCUUAUAUUUUUUGAUAUGUAAUAUAAACAGUUCCAAAAGGAGGUGAUUUAAUAUUUGUCACAAUAUAUUAUUAAGAAUUUUAUUGCUGUUCUGGUCAAGAUUAAUGAAUAUGCUAUUUGGACUUGUUAUACUGUAUUUUUGUUCCUUUAAAUACACAAAGAAUAUUUGGUUUACCUCAUUAACAGAUCAUUAAAACAAUAACAAAAUGCCUGUUAAAUAAGAAUUUGGGCCUAUUUUUAAUGUUAGAUUGUUAUCGGUUAUUUACCUUCUUAUCAGAUCUGAAAAUAUUUUAUUAUAACUUUAUUUUUGGUUAUAAUAGAGGUUUUUUAUUAACAUAGCUAAUGGUAUGUGUGGCCCUUUUAGGCUGUAGCAUUAUAAUAAUUUUGUACAGAUGUUUGUGCUCUUAGUGGUCUUCAGAUGUUCAUUCCUAAGAAUGCAAGAUGAUAAAUGAAAACUGAUGAGCAAUACUAAAUAAAAUGACUUCUCAUUGAG